RNAcentral lists this unclassified non-coding RNA (317 nucleotides) under uncultured crenarchaeote. RNAcentral's name for it is "partial contains 16S ribosomal RNA and 16S-23S ribosomal RNA intergenic spacer". The record is from RNAcentral. Lineage: Archaea; Thermoproteati; Thermoproteota.
CGUAGGGGAACCUGCGGCCGGAUCACCUCCUUAAAAUAGAGGCCGGAUGCCAAUGUGUAAAGGGGUAUGUAACCAUAACUCCAGAUAUGCAAUUUCUCCAUGAAUUAUAGGAGAAAUGAAGGACUUAGUAAGUGAGAACUUGCAAUGACCGUCAUGCAAAGGAACAAGUAAAUUCGCUCUGAUUAAUAGGAAAUUUUUCCUAAUCGACAGAAGUGGCACACUGAAGAUACUGAAGUUCGCGUAGAACCUGAAGGAUGACCAAAGUCAAAGCUAACUUUAGAUCAUAUACUGGUGCAAAGACGCCGGUUGGAGGAUGA